Molecule: ribosomal RNA, 523 nt
Filed under: uncultured bacterium
Lineage: Bacteria
Description: partial 16S ribosomal RNA
Rfam family: Bacterial small subunit ribosomal RNA
Source: RNAcentral
GACGAACGCUGGCGGCGUGCCUAAUACAUGCAAGUCGAACGCUUUUUCUUUCACCGGAGCUUGCUCCACCGAAAGAAAAAGAGUGGCGAACGGGUGAGUAACACGUGGGUAACCUGCCCAUCAGAAGGGGAUAACACUUGGAAACAGGUGCUAAUACUGUAUAACACUAUUUUCCGCAUGGAAGAAAGUUGAAAGGCUCUUUUGCGUCAAUGAUGGAUGGCCCUGCGGUGCAUUAGCUAGUUGGUGAGGUAACGGCUCACCAAGGCAACGAUGCAGAGCCGACCUGAGAGGGUGAUCGGCCACACUGGGACUGAGACACGGCCCAGACUCCGACGGGAGGCAGCAGUAGGGAAUCUUCGGCAAUGGACGAAAGUCUGACCGAGCAACGCCGCGUGAGUGAAGAAGGUUUUCGGAUCGUAAAACUCUGUUGUUAGAGAAGAACAAGGAUGAGAGUAAAACGUUCAUCCCUUGACGGUAUCUAACCAGAAAGCCACGGCUAACUACGUGCCAGCCGCCGCGGUAA